ACGCACGCUGGCGGCGUGCCUAAUACAUGCAAGUAGAACGCUGAAGGAGGAGCUUGCUUCUCUGGAUGAGUUGCGAACGGGUGAGUAACGCGUAGGUAACCUGCCUGGUAGCGGGGGAUAACUAUUGGAAACGAUAGCUAAUACCGCAUAAUAGUAGAUGUCGCAUGACAUUUGCUUAAAAGGUGCAAUUGCAUCACUACCAGAUGGACCUGCGUUGUAUUAGCUAGUUGGUGAGGUAACGGCUCACCAAGGCAACGAUACAUAGCCGACCUGAGAGGGUGAUCGGCCACACUGGGACUGAGACACGGCCCAGACUCCUACGGGAGGCAGCAGUAGGGAAUCUUCGGCAAUGGACGGAAGUCUGACCGAGCAACGCCGCGUGAGUGAAGAAGGUUUUCGGAUCGUAAAGCUCUGUUGUAAGAGAAGAACGAGUGUGAGAGUGGAAAGUUCACACUGUGACGGUAUCUUACCAGAAAGGGACGGCUAACUACGUG
RNAcentral lists this ribosomal RNA (494 nucleotides) under uncultured bacterium. Its description in RNAcentral is "partial 16S ribosomal RNA". It matches the Rfam family "Bacterial small subunit ribosomal RNA", at positions 29 to 507 of the family's 1533-position model. The record is from RNAcentral.